GGGCGCACGAGCGAGCUCGACCGCCGCGUCAU
Molecule: unclassified non-coding RNA, 32 nt
Filed under: Sorangium cellulosum So ce56
Lineage: Bacteria; Pseudomonadati; Myxococcota; Polyangiales; Polyangiaceae
Description: sce_IRE_60
Source: RNAcentral